AAUUCUCAACUCCUCUCAGAUUCCAUCUGUAGGGUGAGCUUGGAAUUGGAGGUUUCUGCUGGCGUUCGCCGGCUCCUCUUGAAAUCAUUAGCUUUGAGUUGAUCUUGACGGCUUGACCGGUGUGAUAAACAUCUACGCCGAUUCACGCCGUCCUGAGCGACGACGUCGGAGACGCUCUGGCUUAUAACCGUCUUCACCGAGGGACAACGCCCUGAAC
RNAcentral lists this unclassified non-coding RNA (217 nucleotides) under uncultured Odontia. RNAcentral's name for it is "sequence contains ITS2". Lineage: Eukaryota; Fungi; Basidiomycota. The record is from RNAcentral.